Molecule: ribosomal RNA, 101 nt
Filed under: Roseburia sp. MSJ-14
Lineage: Bacteria; Bacillati; Bacillota; Clostridia; Lachnospirales; Lachnospiraceae
Description: partial 23S ribosomal RNA
Rfam family: Bacterial large subunit ribosomal RNA
Source: RNAcentral
GGAAGUAAGACCCCUUGAAGAGUACAAGGUAGAUAGGGCAGAGGUGGAAGUGCAGUAAUGCAUGGAGCUGACUGUUACUAAUCGGUCGAGGGCUUGACCUA